This 1725-nucleotide long non-coding RNA is filed under the name Sipha flava (yellow sugarcane aphid). Its description in RNAcentral is "uncharacterized LOC112680337, transcript variant X1". The record is from RNAcentral. Lineage: Eukaryota; Metazoa; Arthropoda; Insecta; Hemiptera; Aphididae.
AUUUUGGUAUUAUCUUUUUACGAUUUGAUGUCUUAUUGAUUUAUUGUUCUUUGAUUUUUGGUUUAAGAUUAUUGAUAGGUAGUUGUUUGAUGUAAAAUUGUCGUUUUAGAGUUGUAUAUAUUUUAUGUGUAUUUAAAUGUUUGGUAAUUAUUACAUCUUAUUGGUUGUUUGUAGGUAGGGUUGAACAGCUGGUCAUUUGUUUAGGCUUUUAAUUAAUGUUCUGGUUUCAAUUUAGGGAUUAUAUUUUAACAGUGUUAUGUCUUGUUGAUUUUUUUUUCUUUUGGUUUAUGUUUUAAGAGUUUUGAUAGUUAGUUGUUUUAUGUAAAUUUGUCGUUUUGGAGUUGUAUAUAUUUUAUGUGUAUUUAAAUGUUUGUUAAUUAUUACAUCUUAUUGGUUGUUUGUAGGUAGGGUUGAACAGUUGGUCAUCACCACUGGAUUUGAAUUACGGAAUUUCUUUAACUCAUUGAUGCUGGUCGGCAUUUUUUUUGUGAUUUGAUAAGGUAUUUGUUAUCCCCCAGGGGAACACGUAAUCACGUGUUUACGGGUCUUAGCGAACCCGGGGUCCUGAGCUCUUGUUGGUUGUAGGUAGUAAUAAUCAGCUGUUCAACUCUUUUGUCUUUAAUUUAAGGAAAUGUUUUUACUUAUUGUUAUAGGUCUGUUUGGGUGCUUCGGCAUCUUAUUGUGAUUUGUUUAGGAAUUAGAUCCCCCAGGGGAACACGUUCUUACGUGUUUACGGGUCUUAGCGAAUCCGGGGUCCUGAGCUCUUGUUGGUUGUAGGUAGUAAUGAUCAGCUGUUCAACUCCUUUGUCUUUAAUUUAAGGAAAUGUUGUUACUUAUUGUUAUAGGUCUCUUUUUGUGCUUCGGCUUCUUAUUCUGAUUUGUUUGUAUCCCCCAGGGGAACACGUUCUUACGUGUUUACGGGUCUUAGCGAACCCGGGGUCCUGAGCUCUUGUUGGUUGUAGUUAGUAAUGAUCAGCUGUUCAACUCUUUUGGCUUUGAUUUAGGUAAAUGUUAUUACUUUUUGUUAUAGGUCUGUUUGGGUGCUUCGGCGUCUUAUUGUGAUUUGUUUAGGGAUUCGUUAUCCUCCAGAGGAACACGUUCUUACGUGUUUACGGGUCUUAGCGAACCCGGGGUCCUGAGCUCUUGUUGGUUGUAGAACUUGAACUUUUUUUUUGGAUCAACAUAAAUCAAGGAUUCUACAGGAGCCAGAACCUGGAUUUUUUUUUUGGAUCGACCCAAAUCAAUUUCCCUCCGGGAGCCGGGGAUCCCCUUUUCAUUUCUACUUCUGAACUGUACACUUUGAAUAUUUAAUGAACUUGGAUUUUGAAUCGUUUCAAUCUAAAGGAGGUGUCCUUUGAGAGCCGGGAAUUCAUCAAUUAUAUUGAGAAGAGUGAUGGAAACAAGAUUGGAGUUAUCUAUAUUUAAGUAUUUCUUUUUUUAUUUAUAAUGGAUUUACUAGGAAGAGCGCAAUAGGACUUGUGUUUUGGCUUUCAAUAAGAAUUUAAUUAUUUAAAAUUUUAUAAUCUUAAUUUUGUCUAGAGUUGGGUAUUUCUUUUUUUUUUUUAUAGUAGUGGUUUUUCUAUAUGUUUUAUUGGUUUUUUAAUUUUGUAGCGAAGAAAAUGUGCUGACUUUUAAUGAGGAAUUCUCAUUUAACUAUUUGAUGUAGGAUUAUUUAUUGUUCUUUGGCUGAUCUUUUUUAUGACUUUUGCUAGGUAUAGGUUUGAU